CUACCAUGAUGAGAUCCAGGACUCUCUCUUUCUGAUCCGUCAGUGGAGAAAAAGGCACAAGUCUGAGUAGC
Molecule: small nucleolar RNA, 71 nt
Organism: Protobothrops mucrosquamatus (brown spotted pit viper)
Lineage: Eukaryota; Metazoa; Chordata; Lepidosauria; Squamata; Viperidae
Product: small nucleolar RNA SNORD26
Exons: 1
Source: RefSeq, a predicted model, not a curated record